Molecule: ribosomal RNA, 341 nt
Filed under: Klebsiella pneumoniae subsp. pneumoniae
Lineage: Bacteria; Pseudomonadati; Pseudomonadota; Gammaproteobacteria; Enterobacterales; Enterobacteriaceae
Description: bacterial LSU rRNA
Rfam family: Bacterial large subunit ribosomal RNA
Source: RNAcentral
GGGUUUAGAACGUCGUGAGACAGUUCGGUCCCUAUCUGCCGUGGGCGCUGGAGAAUUGAGGGGGGCUGCUCCUAGUACGAGAGGACCGGAGUGGACGCAUCACUGGUGUUCGGGUUGUCAUGCCAAUGGCACUGCCCGGUAGCUAAAUGCGGAAGAGAUAAGUGCUGAAAGCAUCUAAGCACGAAACUUGCCCCGAGAUGAGUUCUCCCUGAGACUUUAAGUCUCCUGAAGGAACGUUAAAGACGAUGACGUUGAUAGGCCGGGUGUGUAAGCGCAGCGAUGCGUUGAGCUAACCGGUACUAAUGAACCGUGAGGCUUAACCUUACAACGCCGAAGCUGUU